AAUCUGUUUCUGGAUUACGACUGUUCCAAUCGGGAUCAGAGUACUCAUUGUUCUACAAGGACAGACAAGAUAAUUGGAGGCCUGUCGGUGAUGUACCAUGGAAAGAGUUUAUAGAAUGUGUGAAGCGGUUGAGGAUUGCAAGAAAGAAUUCGGGCAUUGUUUCCUAUUCAUCAAGAUGCACCUAAAUUCCGUGUCUCUUACUUGAGUAGAAAUUAAAUUAAUCAAAGUUGUUUUGAUGUCCUUCUGUUAAGUUGUUUUGGCCAUGUAAUAGUUGAUGGAUUCAUUCAAACUAGUGCACAUGGUAUAUUAGAAAGCAAGUCCGUGAUGGAAACGUACCUUACGUGACAUGUAAUGAUUAAAAUGGAAUACCAAUAAUCACUUCCAAAAUUCAAUCAA
Long non-coding RNA from Glycine soja, 396 nucleotides. RefSeq lists it as uncharacterized. The transcript is spliced from 2 exons. The record is from RefSeq and is a predicted model, not a curated record. Lineage: Eukaryota; Viridiplantae; Streptophyta; Magnoliopsida; Fabales; Fabaceae.